UGGAGAGGCCUAUGACCAGGGCUGUAUUCCCAAUAAAAUCACGCACUAGUUUGACCUCUAAGGUGAGACUUCUGAGGGAAACUGUUGAAGGAAUAAAGGACUGGAGCCUCCAUCCAAAGACCUUUCAGUCUCUGUGGAUAGAAACUAUCUCCGUCGUAUUUCUUUUUCAUAAGUACUACCUACACUCUGCUGCCUCACCAAGGUUCUGCUGUGGGAGCACAGCGAAACGUCAUCAGACUGGGCAGGGAAAAGUGGUGACAUUGACCGUUGAAGAAUGAGUCCACAUCAAACAGGCCAAGAGGUAAAGUGAUAUAAAUGUAUGCAAUGAGAAGAGCAAUGAUGGUUGGAAGAACAGAGUAUUUGGUAAUUUAAGACUGUGAGCCUCACGAGAGAGAGUAGUGUGCCUAGGACUGGAGGGUAGGUGAGGGCCACGUUAUGGAAAAUUUCACAAACAGAUACACACACAUGCACUCAAAUGAAAGUAAUUUUUUUUAAUGAGAGAGAAUGACAUACUUUUCUUGAUAGACUGUCAUGAACUAUGACUCACAGCAUAGUUGAAUUGGAUUACUAUGACAAAAUCCGUAGAUUGGUGUCUUAGUUAAAGUCUUAUUGCUGUGGAGAAACAUUACAACCAAGGGAACUCUUAUAAAGGACAACAUUUAGUUGGGGCUGGCUUACAGUUUCAGAGGUUCAGUCCAUCAUUGUCAUGGCAGGAAGCAUCCAGGCAGACACUAGGCUGGAGAAGGAGCUGAGAGCUCUACAUCUUGAUCUGAAGGCAGAUGACAUGAGAGACUCCCUUCCGCAGGCAGCCAGGAGGGGACUUCCUUCUGUACUGAGUGUAGCUUGCCUACUAGGAGUCUUCAAAGCCCACCUACACAGUAACACAUUUCCUCCAACAAGGCCACACCUCCUAAUAGUGCCACUUUCCAUGUGUUUUCCAUAUUGAAACACAUGAGUCUAUGGGGACCAAACCUAUUCAAAUUACCACAGGCAGUAUGGUAAUGUGCCACAGGCACAGUUGGAGUUUAUGUUUCAUCGGUGUUUUAAGCACAGGGGUUAGAAGAACGGUAGAGAGACAGGUAAGCAAAGGACAGUAGUGUAUCUUUUAGAGUCCUCUUGGGCUUCUGAAGAGAACUGGCACUCAAGUGUCUUACUUAAUAGCUAUGUAUGUGGAAAGCUCUUCAGAUUAGAUUGUUCAAAGGAUUUGAAAGGCAAAACGAAAACUUUUUUCUUAAUAUUUACUUUCAUUUAGAAACUUUUCUUUAGUAAAUGAAUUAUAAGGUGGCUUGAGGCACACUGUACAGGUUUAUAGGUUGGUAAGAUAAACAUGCAGGGCAAAAGACUGAAAAGAAUCCUUAGUAUACGUGCGGUGUAGAGAAACCAAGGUACAUGUCUUCACUGCAAUUAUGAUUUGUACUUGUGCAAGGUGCAAAUGUCAGCCAGGAGGGGCGAAUGUGCACACACAGUAACUAUGGAUGAUGAUGAGUGAGUGGGCUACUUGUUUUGAUCAACUGUAGGAAUAGGUGUUUCGAUCUAUCAACUGUAGCAAUAUGUGUUUAUCUCUCUCUCUCUCUCUCUCUCUCUCUCUCUCUCUUUAUCUAUCUCAUCAUGUAUACUCAGACUAAAUACAGUGGGAAGUCAGUAUCACAAAUCAAGAGAGACCCACUUCUUCAUGACAAAGUUGAAUUUACUAGGAAGAUGUGUUGCUUCUAAUUUCAUAGACACUGUAAACAUACAUUUGAAUACAUAGAUCAUACCUGAUAGAAAACCCAAACUACUGACAUAUCUGGUAUGUUUUAUGGAACAUACUUCUCACAGUAAGUUAUACAGCAAACAGACAAAGGUCAGUCACCAUAUGGAUUUCCACAACACUAUCCACAUGCUAGACCUAACAGACGCAUGUGAAACUUGCUUACCUACUUCAGACUGGGACUGUUUUCUAAGCACACAAGGCCAAUUCAUAGAGAUUUACCUCAUGCAAAGGUAUAAAGUAAUUAUUACAAAGUUUCAAAGGAUAUUUGAAAAUUUAAAAAAAAGUCACAAUGGGAAGUAAAAUUAAAAUGUAAGAAUAUAAUUCCCCCAGAAAUGAUUUAUAGAAUUAAAUGGAACAUCUCAAAAUAUUUACAAGAGGGUUUGUAACCUGCCCC
Molecule: long non-coding RNA, 2147 nt
Filed under: Rattus norvegicus (Norway rat)
Lineage: Eukaryota; Metazoa; Chordata; Mammalia; Rodentia; Muridae
Description: long non-coding RNA NONRATT031888
Source: RNAcentral